AAGGCUUUCUGUCUAAAGCCUUUCCAUACUGGUGCUCGAUGUUUUCAGUUUGGGGACACCAAAAUUAGUGUACCGCUAAAGACACGUGGUCGACACGUUGUGACACGUUGCUGACACUUUGUUGACACGUGACCCAAUUACCGGCCUACCAAGUGCCUUUGGUGACCGCUAACAGCAACUGUGGAACAGUGCAGUGCCCUUUUUUGGAGCAACGUACGAGUAGUGCCCAUGGAUUAUGACCCCGCGACCCCAAUCUACGUGGCGGUCCGCAAUUCGCUACUUCAUACUGACUGGCGUCCGACAUCGUCCCGAAUUUGGCCACAAUCUGCUCUCGGGACCCCUAUAGGGCUCCCUGACCUGCUCCAUCUCCGCCAUCGUCAAUGUACUGCGCAUCCACCCAGGCCAGGACUGCACUUACUUACGGGAAGGAGUAUUUGCAAGAUGGAACCUGGGAACUGGAAGACGACGAAGAGGAAGCGUGGGAAUCCGGCGGCAAUGGCUGGGAUGACUGAACUUACGGGAAGGAGUGCUUCCAAGAUGGGAGACGAAGAAGAAGAAGCCGCUGAAUCCGGCGGCAAUGGCUGGGAUCUUUCUGAAGCUAGCUCUGCAGUGGAUAAGAAACAUUCCGUGUAAGUGGAGUUG
Molecule: long non-coding RNA, 642 nt
Organism: Sycon ciliatum
Lineage: Eukaryota; Metazoa; Porifera; Calcarea; Leucosolenida; Sycettidae
Exons: 3
Source: RefSeq, a predicted model, not a curated record